This 434-nucleotide ribosomal RNA is filed under the name uncultured Clostridium sp. RNAcentral describes it as "partial 16S ribosomal RNA". It matches the Rfam family "Bacterial small subunit ribosomal RNA", at positions 341 to 792 of the family's 1533-position model. Lineage: Bacteria; Bacillati; Bacillota; Clostridia; Eubacteriales; Clostridiaceae. The record is from RNAcentral.
ACGGGAGGCAGCAGUGGGGAAUAUUGGACAAUGGGGGAAACCCUGAUCCAGCGACGCCGCGUGAGUGAAGAAGUAUUUCGGUAUGUAAAGCUCUAUCAGCAGGGAAGAUAAUGACGGUACCUGACUAAGAAGCCCCGGCUAACUACGUGCCAGCAGCCGCGGUAAUACGUAGGUGGCAAGCGUUAUCCGGAUUUACUGGGUGUAAAGGGUGUGUAGGCGGGUGUGCAAGUCAGAUGUGAAAACUAUGGGCUCAACUCAUAGCCUGCAUUUGAAACUGCAUAUCUUGAGAGUCGGAGAGGUAAACGGAAUUCCCGGUGUAGCGGUGAAAUGCGCAGAUAUCGGGAGGAACAUCGGUGGCGAAGGCGGUUUACUGGACGACAACUGACGCUGAGACACGAAAGCGUGGGGAGCAAACAGGAUUAGAUACCCUGGUA